RNAcentral lists this non-coding RNA (31 nucleotides) under Mus musculus (house mouse). Lineage: Eukaryota; Metazoa; Chordata; Mammalia; Rodentia; Muridae. The record is from RNAcentral.
UGCCCCUCACUGUCAUUGUGCUACUGCAAUA